Molecule: ribosomal RNA, 704 nt
Filed under: Petrophassa albipennis
Lineage: Eukaryota; Metazoa; Chordata; Aves; Columbiformes; Columbidae
Description: partial 12S ribosomal RNA
Rfam family: Bacterial small subunit ribosomal RNA
Source: RNAcentral
UCAUACAAGAGGCCCAAAUUAAUAGUAGACGGCGUAAAGAGUGGACCCAUGACUAUCUUAGCAAUUAAGGCCAAAAAGUAACUGAGCUGUCAUAAGCUUAAGAUAUAUUUAAAAUCACCUUAGAGACGGCCUUAACUUUUACGACCCAUUAAACUCCACGAAAGCCAGGACACAAACUGGGAUUAGAUACCCCACUAUGCCCGGCCCUAAAUCUAGAUGUUUCACCUACUAAGACAUCCGCCAGAGAACUACGAGCACAAACGCUUAAAACUCUAAGGACUUGGCGGUGCCCCAAACCCACCUAGAGGAGCCUGUUCUAUAAUCGACAACCCACGAUCCACCCGACCACUUCUUGCAGUAAAUAACAGCCUACAUACCGCCGUCGCCAGCUCACCUCCACUGAGGGCAUAGUAGUGAGCACAAUCGCCCAACCCCACUAACACGACAGGUCAAGGUAUAGCCCAUGAAGUGGAAGAAAUGGGCUACAUUUUCUAGCUUAGAAUACCCUUACUCCAACGGAAGGGAGUGUGAAACAACUCCCAGAAGGUGGAUUUAGCAGUAAAGAGGGAUAAUAAAGCCCCCUUAAAGCCGGCUCUGAGGCACGUACAUACCGCCCGUCACCCUCCUCACAAGCUUCAAGUCUCAAUAGAUAAUACACCCACUCGCCAAAGAUGAGGUAAGUCGUAACAAGGUAAGUGUACCGG